AUGUAUCCCAACCUCUAUUGCUCUCGCGUAAAGACUUUUUUUUGCGCGACAGGAAAAAGUGACUACGAAUUCCCCUUUUUGUUUGCGAAUCCCUGUUUGUAUCCUUUGAGCGCACGCCCAUUAAGUAGCGAUCAAAUCAAGGAAAUCGAUCAAACGAUCCCCGUGCCAGCCCAAAUCAUGAUCUUCACCAACUUGGAUUUGGUUCUCUCGCGAAAAUCGCGAGUUGCAGAGAUGAGAACCAUGAAAAGCAAGAUCCCGAAUAAGAAAACAGAAACCGAGGAAGAGGAAACCACAAGAGUGAAGACUAGUAGAGUCUCGUCUUUUGUCAUUCUUUGCUCCUUUUUCACUCAAUGA
This 354-nucleotide ribosomal RNA is filed under the name Triticum aestivum (bread wheat). Its description in RNAcentral is "partial small subunit ribosomal RNA". The record is from RNAcentral. Lineage: Eukaryota; Viridiplantae; Streptophyta; Magnoliopsida; Poales; Poaceae.